This 253-nucleotide ribosomal RNA is filed under the name uncultured bacterium. Its description in RNAcentral is "partial 16S ribosomal RNA". It matches the Rfam family "Archaeal small subunit ribosomal RNA", at positions 474 to 727 of the family's 1478-position model. The record is from RNAcentral.
UACCAGCACCCCGAGUGGUCGGGACGUUUAUUGGGCCUAAAGCAUCCGUAGCCGGUUCUACAAGUCUUCCGUUAAAUCCAGCUGCUUAACAGAUGGGCUGCGGAAGAUACUAUGGAGCUAGGAGGCGGGAGAGGCAAGCGGUACUCGAUGGGUAGGGGUAAAAUCCGUUGAUCCAUUGAAGACCACCAGUGGCGAAGGCGGCUUGCCAGAACGCGCUCGACGGUGAGGGAUGAAAGCUGGGGGAGCAAACGGG